UAAAGAGAGUAUGAUCCAGGCUCAGGACGAACGCUGGCGGCGUGCCAAAUACAUGCAAGUCGAACGAACGGAGGAAGAGCUUGCUCUUCCAAUGAUAGUGGCGGACGGGUGAGUAUCACGUGGGCAACCUGCCUGUAAGUUGGGGAUAACUCCGGGAUACCGGGGCUAAUACCGAAUGAU
RNAcentral lists this ribosomal RNA (180 nucleotides) under Listeria monocytogenes. Its description in RNAcentral is "partial 16S ribosomal RNA". It matches the Rfam family "Bacterial small subunit ribosomal RNA", at positions 1 to 177 of the family's 1533-position model. The record is from RNAcentral. Lineage: Bacteria; Bacillati; Bacillota; Bacilli; Caryophanales; Listeriaceae.